UACGAGGGGUGCAAGCGUUGUUCGGAAUUAUUGGGCGUAAAGGGCGCGUAGGCGGUGCGGUAAGUCACCUGUCGAAAUCCUCCCGGCUUAACUGGGAGCCUGCAGGCGAAACUGCCGUGCUUGAGUAUGGGAGAGGUGCGUGGAAUUCCGGUGUAGCGGUGAAUGCGUAGAUAAUCGGGAGGAACACCUGUGGCGAAAGCGGCGCACUGGACCAUAACUGACGCUGGAGGCGACGAAAGCUAGGGGAGCAAACAGG
This 256-nucleotide ribosomal RNA is filed under the name uncultured bacterium. RNAcentral describes it as "partial 16S ribosomal RNA". It matches the Rfam family "Bacterial small subunit ribosomal RNA", at positions 524 to 776 of the family's 1533-position model. The record is from RNAcentral.